RNAcentral lists this ribosomal RNA (484 nucleotides) under uncultured bacterium. RNAcentral describes it as "partial 16S ribosomal RNA". It matches the Rfam family "Bacterial small subunit ribosomal RNA", at positions 30 to 507 of the family's 1533-position model. The record is from RNAcentral.
AUUGAACGCUGGCGGCAGGCCUAACACAUGCAAGUCGAGCGGAUGAAGGGAGCUUGCUCCUGGAUUCAGCGGCGGACGGGUGUGUAAUGCCUCGGAAUCUGCCUGGUAGUGGGGGAUAACGUCCGGACACGGGCGCUAAUACCGCAUACGUCCUGAGGGAGGAAGUGGGGGAUCUUCGGACAUCACGCUAUCAGAUGAGCCUAGGUCGGAUUAGCUAGUUGGUGGGGUAAAGGCCUACCAAGGCGACGAUCCGUAACUGGUCUGAGAGGAUGAUCAGUCACACUGGAACUGAGACACGGUCCAGACUCCUACGGGAGGCAGCAGUGGGGAAUAUUGGACAAUGGGCGAAAGCCUGAUCCAGCCAUGCCGCGUGUGUGAAGAAGGUCUUCGGAUUGUAAAGCACUUUAAGUUGGGAGGAAGGGCAGUAAGUUAAUACCUUGCUGUUUUGACGUUACCAACAGAAUAAGCACCGGCUAACUUCGUG